This is an RNA transcript of Anguilla anguilla (European eel), 1215 nucleotides long. RefSeq lists it as uncharacterized. The record is from RefSeq and is a predicted model, not a curated record. The transcript is spliced from 6 exons. Lineage: Eukaryota; Metazoa; Chordata; Actinopteri; Anguilliformes; Anguillidae.
GUCACAUGGUACUCGAGGAACUACAGAAAUUGAGGGAGUGUACCGCCAUAGCUGUAAGGGCAAUACUAAUAACUGAAUUAAAUAAUUCUGGUAAACAAGUAUGUGAAGAAAUAUAGAAUGUAGGAUUUUCCAAACAAAUAUAAUAGUUCCCUCUCCACCAGAUGAGAAAGGCUAAAACGUGCAAGAAAAGGUGCUUGUGGAGUGAGGAAGCCAUGCGUAGCGCUAUUGAGGCAUGCAUGGAAGGGAUGAUGGUGAGGGAGGCAGUCAGGCUCUACCAGGUCCCACGGUCAACGCUGGCAGACCGGGUCAAAGGGAGGGUGAGCCAUGGUGUAACUGGCGGACCACGGCCGAUUUUAUCAAAAUCAGACGAGCUGUCCGUGGUCCGCUACUGCCAGUAUAUGGCAAGCCAUGGCCACCCUCUCAGUCGAUCGCAGUGUGUGGCAUUUGGCACAUCCAUCAGGAGGGAGAGAGAUCCACAGGCCAAACCCCUCUCCCGGACCUGGUGGAGAAACUUCCGCCGGCGUCACCGUGCGGAGCUCACUAUGAGGACGCCGAAUAUCAUUGAUAGAGUAACAGAGACACAGCCCUUGCCGUCCUCCUCUGGUGAACCAGCGCUUGCCAGGCCCAUGACACCACCCACAGACAGCACAUCAUUAAAUUGGGGGGAAAGCCUCAGCCGAUGCUGUGGCUGCGGCAAGGCUGAGCCCCCUGGCGAAGAUGGCAUGGUGGUGUCAUGGGUUGCCUGUAAAUCCUGUGAGCGCUGGUUCCACUCAAAAUGUGUCGGCUGGCAUGAGGAGGAAGAGGAGCAGGACAAAAAAUUUCUUUGUUUUUGUUGCCCCGAAAGUUAAUUUAAAAAAAUUCAUAUGUACAGUUAUUUAUACAUUUUUAGCAUUUGUAUAUUUUUACAUGUAAAUACAUUAAAAAAUUUUAUUUUAAAUUCUUUUUUUUCUUAUUUCACUUAGAAAAUGUAAUUAACCUAAAUUACAGAUAUCAGGCAGUAAAGUAGACAUUAUAUUGCCAAGAGCCAAGAAGGCCAUGAUGUAAUUCCUGUACAGCAGGCCAUGCUUGGCUCUUUACCAUAAUGUGUUUUGUAUCAUUGUACUUUGUAUCAUUAUCUUGAUGUUGCAGCUUGUAAUGCCCCCUAGUUUGACUUAGCAUAGGUUUGGUCAGCGUAAUGUUUACUGUGUGAACUGGACUUAAUGUGCUCAUGCCUAU